This 823-nucleotide ribosomal RNA is filed under the name Beltrania rhombica. RNAcentral's name for it is "eukaryotic LSU rRNA". It matches the Rfam family "Eukaryotic large subunit ribosomal RNA", at positions 81 to 932 of the family's 3401-position model. The record is from RNAcentral. Lineage: Eukaryota; Fungi; Ascomycota; Sordariomycetes; Amphisphaeriales; Beltraniaceae.
UAGUAACGGCGAGUGAAGCGGGAACAGCUCAAAUUUGAAAUCUGGCCUUCGGGUCCGAAUUGUAAUUUGCAGAGGAUGCUUUUGGUUAGGUACUUUCCGAGUUCCCUGGAACGGGACGCCUUAGAGGGUGAGAGCCCCGUACGGUUGGAUACCGAGCCUUUGUAAAGCUCCUUCGACGAGUCGAGUAGUUUGGGAAUGCUGCUCUAAAUGGGAGGUAAAUUUCUUCUAAAGCUAAAUACCGGCCAGAGACCGAUAGCGCACAAGUAGAGUGAUCGAAAGAUGAAAAGCACUUUGAAAAGAGGGUUAAAUAGCACGUGAAAUUGUUGAAAGGGAAGCGUUUAUGACCAGACUUUUUCCAGGCGAAUCAUCCGGUGUUCUCGCCGGUGCACUUCGUCUGGUUGAGGCCAGCAUCGGUUUUCGUGGGGGGAUAAAAGCGGUGGGAAUGUGACUCCUCCGGGAGUGUUAUAGCCCGCCGUAUAAUACCUCCAUGGGGACCGAGGUUCGCGCUCUGCAAGGAUGCUGGCGUAAUGGUCAUCAACGACCCGUCUUGAAACACGGACCAAGGAGUCGAACAUUUGUGCGAGUGUUUGGGUGUUAAACCCUCACGCGUAAUGAAAGUGAACGGAGGUGAGAGCCCUUACGGGUGCAUCAUCGACCGAUCCUGAUGUUUUCGGAUGGAUUUGAGUAAGAGCAUAACUGUUCGGACCCGAAAGAUGGUGAACUAUGCGUGGAUAGGGUGAAGCCAGAGGAAACUCUGGUGGAGGCUCGCAGCGGUUCUGACGUGCAAAUCGAUCGUCAAAUCUGCGCAUGGGGGCGAAAGACU